GUCAGGAUGGCCGAGUGGUCUAAGGCGGUAGACUUAGCAUCUAUUCCUCUCGUUAAAGGGGGCGUGGGUUCAAAUCCCACUCCUCCA
Non-coding RNA from Turnera subulata, 87 nucleotides. The record is from the annotation of a GenBank genome assembly. Lineage: Eukaryota; Viridiplantae; Streptophyta; Magnoliopsida; Malpighiales; Passifloraceae.